CACUGGCUUGGACAGGGAAGAUACAACCUCCAGUGCUCCUGACCAGCAGCCUUUUGCAGUAACAAGUGACUCAGAAGGGGUUACAGUCUUGUCUCAUCGCUGCAACUCCCGUACGGACUCGGGAGAGGCGAAGGCCAAGAGCGGUGCGUCCUCCGAAACCCAACCAAGCCUCACUGCUUCUUGACACAAUGCCCAUUUAACAUAGAUGCCAGCCACACCAAUGUGUCAGAGGAAACACCGUACCCCUGGCGACUGUCAGCGUGCAUGCGCCCGGAGCCUGGACUCAAACCCAGAAUCUCUAGUUGCACAGCUAGCACUGCGAUGCAGUGCCUUAGACCACUGCACCACUCGGGAGGCCCUGAUCAGAGGAUUUCUGAGAAGACACUUAUAUAGUGCUUUGUUUUGCACAUGAAGUGGUCCAUAUAAAGAUGUGGAUGGAUGGAG
This 444-nucleotide long non-coding RNA is filed under the name Salmo salar (Atlantic salmon). Its description in RNAcentral is "lncRNA (ENSSSAG00000107204.1, ENSSSAG00075027433.1)". Lineage: Eukaryota; Metazoa; Chordata; Actinopteri; Salmoniformes; Salmonidae. The record is from RNAcentral.